UUCCUUGUUCUGUCACUGUUUCUUCUUUUUAUUUCGAUCAUAACAUAUCCCAGCUUGAACAUUUUAUACAGGAAUUCUAAUUCUUUGCAUGUCUAUAGGAUCACUUGGUUUGCAAGUCAUUCAGAUCUCUUCUAUAUCAGUUGAUCUAUACUUUUCUAAGGCACACUUGUCACUCUGCUAUCUAGCAGAGUGCUACCUUGCGAAUACAAGACAGCAGUAUUUCUUCCACCAUGCAUCAUUUGAUGUAUUUCAUUCCUUUUCUCUUGAUGUCAUCAGUAGUGUUUUCAGUUGCAUUUUCUAGAAAACCAAGUGGAAAGAAAGGCACCCAUAUCAGAGUUGGCAUAAAAUACUUUUGUCACUUUUCAGUCAUUCAAGCAGUACUUUCUUUUCUUCUAAUCAUAUUAUUAGAACAUAAUAGCAGUUGCUAUGGGAGCAGGAGAACCAAACAGUGGUUGAGGCUCAGUGGCAAUACAUCUAUGUUAAAGGUAACAUCUGGUCUUUGCUCCCUUGAAGCACGAAUUAUCAAAACAAAACAGUGGUGUGAAAUGCUGCCAUGUUUAGAAGGAGAAGGCUGUGAUUUGCUAAUCAAUAAAUCAGGCUGGACCUGUACACAACCAGGAGGUCGGAUAAAGACAACCACGAUGCUUCAUUGAAGGUUAUGGAAAGCUCUGGACAACAGGCAUGGAAACUAGGAAGUCUUAGGAUAACUCUCUGAAGUGCUUGACUGUGAUUUAAAAGAAGAGAAAUUUUCUAGCAGAAACAUCACGAGACCUUAUUUUCUCUAGCAGUAUUCUUACGUCAAAAGCUACUGACGCAGUCAAGUAUUUUCUAUUUCUGCUCAGAAUAUGCAUCUGAGUUACCAGUCCCACAGUGGCGUCUAAUUAUAAUGGGGAGGAUUAACAGUGUGCAGAGAAGGGACAAGAAAAUGGUCACCAGGAAGUAAGGGGAAAUUCGUGUCCAAACAUAUUAAGUGAAUUAUUAUACAUUAUUUGUAUUGUUAAGUAGAAACAGUUAACCACAUUUUCAGUGGUAGCUGCGUUAUAUCCUUAAUUAUAUCCUAACUUGUUAACUCACAUUUGUUAAUCUAAUAUUUGCAGUCCUUUUCUAAAUGCAUUAAUCAGUAUCAUGAAGAUGUUUGGCACUAGGUCUUACAUUGUCAUGGCGAUGAUAGAUCAUAUUGCAGAGAGAUCUCUGGUAAAUGCUGAAGACAGUCAUUUGCUAUUGUGCUGAUGCCAGGACAGUAUUGAACUCUGAUGGACUGAGACCAGCUAUUGUGGUAAUACCAGCUGCUUUGAUUGUAGAUAGAUGUGUCUAAGUGUAACUUUUGAAUAACUGGGUUUAGAAGAAGCACGUGAAAUUAUAGAACUAGUGAAGAUUCUGCCCAGGGCAUCCUUUCUGUAUGUGAGAAUAUAAUCUAGGACUUCUAGUUAAAUAUGUUUUUUACCAAAACAAGGAUGAAAUACUUUUUAUUUUCUUGAGAUAUAUUCAACAUUUAACAUUUUUUCCUAUGAAGUUACCAAGCAGAUAGGAUAAGAAAGUACCCUUUUCUUCAAAGUAUAAGUGCAAAUUCUUUAAACUGCUUCUUUGUUUGUGUUGAAAUUCUAUAGACUUUCUAUGAAAAGCCAGAUUUUUUUCACUGCAUGGCACUUUUUGUAAUUACCUCUGGAAACAAUACAGUGAAAUCAAAAUUCUCUCCUCAUGCGGGUAGGAGUGUUUUAUACCCAUUUUGUGCUCACUUUGCACAGCCAUAAAUGACUACACAAGGUGCAAGGCAAAGGAGAAUCAAACUCAAAGUAUACUCUAAAUGGAUCUGGAUGUCACUUCUGCCCUGUCAUCCUAUCUACAAGGUGUGAAUGAAGCAAGGAUUUUUCAUCUGCUAAGAGGCUUUUAGAAUUGAGGAUUGUCUGGGCUAACUGCCAAUCUGUGUAUUAAGCAGCUGAUACAAGGAAACAAUAUGGCAACUUGUAAAAUAAGGUAGCAAGAGAAUACUACA
This is a non-coding RNA of Phasianus colchicus (ring-necked pheasant), 1993 nucleotides long. The record is from RefSeq and is a predicted model, not a curated record. Lineage: Eukaryota; Metazoa; Chordata; Aves; Galliformes; Phasianidae.